RNAcentral lists this ribosomal RNA (321 nucleotides) under Brasidas sp. 4 SB-2020. Its description in RNAcentral is "partial 12S ribosomal RNA". The record is from RNAcentral. Lineage: Eukaryota; Metazoa; Arthropoda; Insecta; Phasmatodea; Heteropterygidae.
CCAAAGAAUUUGGCGGUGUUUUAUUCUAAUCAGAGGAACUUGCCCCGUUAUCGAUAGCCCUCGUUUUAUCUUUCUUGAUUUAUUUAGUAUGUAUACCGCCGUUAUAAGUUUAUUUUUUUAGAAUUUAUUUACUGGUAAUUUUAUUUUAUAUUAUUUCAGGUCAAGGUGCAGCUUAUAAUUAAGUGGAGGUGAGUUACAAUAUUAUUUAAAUAAAUGGAUUUUUUUUUUGAAAAUUUUAAUGAAGGUGGAUUUGAUGGUAAUUUUAUUUAUAGAUUUAUUUUGAAUUUAGCCCUAAAACAAGUACACAUCGCCCGUCGCUCU